Molecule: ribosomal RNA, 253 nt
Filed under: Salinarimonadaceae bacterium
Lineage: Bacteria; Pseudomonadati; Pseudomonadota; Alphaproteobacteria; Hyphomicrobiales; Salinarimonadaceae
Also listed under: 1 other name
Description: partial 16S ribosomal RNA
Rfam family: Bacterial small subunit ribosomal RNA
Source: RNAcentral
UACGAAGGGGGCUAGCGUUGCUCGGAAUCACUGGGCGUAAAGGGCGCGUAGGCGGAUCUUUAAGUCGGGGGUGAAAGCCCAGGGCUCAACCCUGGAAUUGCCUUCGAUACUGAAGAUCUCGAGACCGGAAGAGGUAAGUGGAACUGCGAGUGUAGAGGUGAAAUUCGUAGAUAUUCGCAAGAACACCAGUGGCGAAGGCGGCUUACUGGUCCGGUUCUGACGCUGAGGCGCGAAAGCGUGGGGAGCAAACAGG